GCUGGGCAUGGUGGCUCAUGCCUGUAAUCCCAGCACCUUGGGAGGCUGAGGCAGGAGGAUUGCUUGAGUCCAGGAGUUCGAGACCGGCCUGGGCAACAAAGUGAGACCUUGUCUCUA
This is a non-coding RNA of Gorilla gorilla gorilla (western lowland gorilla), 117 nucleotides long. It matches the Rfam family "Metazoan signal recognition particle RNA". From Rfam's summary of the family: The signal recognition particle (SRP) is a universally conserved ribonucleoprotein. It is involved in the co-translational targeting of proteins to membranes. Lineage: Eukaryota; Metazoa; Chordata; Mammalia; Primates; Hominidae. The record is from Rfam.